GCUUGCGAAGAUGAAAACACGGCCCGGUUGGUAGUCCGGGCGCGAAGGUGCAGGCGCGGGUGCGUGCGUCGGCGGCUUCGUCAGUAACCUGCCUCCUUGGUUGUCCGUUCUUCGUGGUACACCA
RNAcentral lists this non-coding RNA (124 nucleotides) under Eggerthella sp. YY7918. RNAcentral's name for it is "azaaromatic riboswitch aptamer (yjdF RNA)". It matches the Rfam family "azaaromatic riboswitch aptamer (yjdF RNA)". RNAcentral also lists the same sequence under 1 other name. The record is from Rfam by way of RNAcentral. Lineage: Bacteria; Bacillati; Actinomycetota; Coriobacteriia; Eggerthellales; Eggerthellaceae.